This 65-nucleotide signal recognition particle RNA is filed under the name Acinetobacter baumannii. RNAcentral describes it as "signal recognition particle sRNA small type". It matches the Rfam family "Bacterial small signal recognition particle RNA", at positions 14 to 79 of the family's 97-position model. From Rfam's summary of the family: The signal recognition particle (SRP) is a universally conserved ribonucleoprotein involved in the co-translational targeting of proteins to membranes. Archaeal SRP consists of a 7S RNA and homologues of the eukaryotic SRP19 and SRP54 proteins. Lineage: Bacteria; Pseudomonadati; Pseudomonadota; Gammaproteobacteria; Moraxellales; Moraxellaceae. The record is from RNAcentral.
GCAAUUGUACUCUGUGAACCCCGCCAGGACCGGAAGGUAGCAACGGUAGCAGAUCUAUGAUGUGC